Molecule: non-coding RNA, 70 nt
Organism: Podarcis lilfordi (Lilford's wall lizard)
Lineage: Eukaryota; Metazoa; Chordata; Lepidosauria; Squamata; Lacertidae
Source: the annotation of a GenBank genome assembly
GAGAUGGCUCAGUUGGUAGAGCAUGAGACUCUUAAUCUCGGGGUCGCGGGUUUGAGACCUACCUUGAGCA